Molecule: ribosomal RNA, 417 nt
Filed under: uncultured prokaryote
Description: bacterial SSU rRNA
Rfam family: Bacterial small subunit ribosomal RNA
Source: RNAcentral
CCUACGGAGGCUGCAGUGGGGAAUAUUGCACAAUGGGCGAAAGCCUGAUGUAGCAACGCCGCGUGAGCGAUGAAGGCCUUCGGGUCGUAAAGCUCUGUCCUCAAGGAAGAUAGUGACGGUACUUGAGGAGGAAGCCCCGGCUAACUACGUGCCAGCAGCCGCGGUAAUACGUAGGGGGCUAGCGGUAUCCGGCAUUAAUGGGCGUAAAGGAUGCGUAGUUGGUUUCUUAGGUCAGAGGUGAAAGGCUACGGCUCAACCGUAGUAAGCCUUUGAAACUGCGAAACUUGAGUGCAGGAGAGGAGAGUAGAAUUCCUAGUGUAGCGGUGAAAUGCGUAGAUAUUAGGAGGAAUACCAGUUGCGAAGGCGGCUCUCUGGACUGUAACUGACACUGAGGCACGAAAGCGUGGGGAGCAAACA